RNAcentral lists this transfer RNA (70 nucleotides) under Halichoeres melanurus (tail-spot wrasse). Its description in RNAcentral is "tRNA-Met". It matches the Rfam family "tRNA". From Rfam's summary of the family: Transfer RNA (tRNA) molecules are approximately 80 nucleotides in length. Their secondary structure includes four short double-helical elements and three loops (D, anti-codon, and T loops). The record is from RNAcentral. Lineage: Eukaryota; Metazoa; Chordata; Actinopteri; Labriformes; Labridae.
AGUUAGGUCAGCUAAUUUAAGCUUUUGGGCCCAUACCCCAAACAUGUUGGUUAAAAUCCAUCCCUCACUA